RNAcentral lists this ribosomal RNA (468 nucleotides) under uncultured bacterium. RNAcentral describes it as "partial 16S ribosomal RNA". It matches the Rfam family "Bacterial small subunit ribosomal RNA", at positions 28 to 507 of the family's 1533-position model. The record is from RNAcentral.
GACGAACGCUGGCGGCGUGCUUAACACAUGCAAGUCGAACGGAAAGGCCCUGCUUUUGUGGGGUGCUCGAGUGGCGAACGGGUGAGUAACACGCGAGUAACCUGCCCUUGACUUUGGGAUAACUUCAGGAAACUGGGGCUAAUACCGGAUAGGAGCUCCUGCUGCAUGGUGGGGGUUGGAAAGUUUCGGCGGUUGGGGAUGGACUCGCGGCUUAUCAGCUUGUUGGUGGGGUAGUGGCUUACCAAGGCUUUGACGGGUAGCCGGCCUGGGAGGGUGACCGGCCACAUGAGGACUGAGGUACGGACCAGACUCCUACGGGAGGCAGCAGUGGAGAAUAUUGCACAAUGGGCGGAAGCCUGAUGCAGCAACGCCGCGUGCGGGAUGACGGCCUUCGGGUUAUGAACCGCUUUCGCCUGUGACGAAGCGUGAGUGACGGUAAUGAGUAAAGAAGCACCGGCUAACUACGUG